Molecule: microRNA precursor, 125 nt
Filed under: Brassica napus (rape)
Lineage: Eukaryota; Viridiplantae; Streptophyta; Magnoliopsida; Brassicales; Brassicaceae
Description: MIR9563 microRNA precursor family
Rfam family: MIR9563 microRNA precursor family
Source: Rfam by way of RNAcentral
AAAAUAUAAGAACCCGUCUCUUAACUUUUAAUUAAAAAAGCUAAGAACCGGCUCUUAAAACUCUUAUUUAAAAACCGGUUCUUAACUUUUUUAGUUAAAAGUUAAGAGACGGGUUCUUAUAUUAU